CUGACCGCGGCGUGCGUGCGUGGGGGGCUGCGCGUCCCUCUCUUGCGCGGGUGGCCUUCACCCGCUGGCCUGGUGUCUGUAUGACGGUGGGGCUGAGUCGUCCGCUUAGGGCACGUGCCUUCGCCGCGGUGUUGGGUUUGUUCCGUGCGGCGAAUGCUACCUGGUGUGGAGAGAGGCCGCGCUCUCCAUUUUCGCUGUCCGCCGUUCGCCUCCUUCGCCCCACCACGCUUCGCAUCCUGUUCGACUCGGACUGACUGACCUUCUUCGCCGCCGGUGUGCAUAGCCGUUGUGAUGGCGUUUGUGCGUUCGAUCGGUGCUGCUGGUUAAUACCAGUUUCUUCCACCGCUGUCUCCUGCGCCCGCCGUCGCGCCGUUCUGCCUUUUGCAUUGAGGUCGAUGGUGGGGUGGAUGGGCAGGGGAGGCGGGCGACGAGGGCAGGCAACAGUCGGCCCGUCGCGAUGUGGUGAAGCUACAGGGAAGAGGGAGGAGGUCGGCGAUAGGGUGAAGGAGUAGGCCGGCCCUCGUGGAGGCUGCGCUGCCGGCCGGCCAGGGAGGCGGCCCGGCUCGCCUCUGCCUCCACCCUCACCUCCUUUUCCAUGCCUCUUCCUCUGCAUAGUAGCAUGUGCGAGGUUGCGGGCACAGGCAACCAUGGGCAAAUUUUGGGGAGACGCCAAGAUGAGCUUCCCCUCUGUUCCAUGCCCUAAUCUCUCUCUAAAGAUUUGUGUAGCCUAAAUGUCUCUGUACCGUGUAAGCAGGCCCAACCUAAUGCACACCAUCGGCCUGAUGAAUGACCAAAUGAUUUGUUUUUGUUGCCAUAUAGACUAUUGACUGGUGUGUAGGAGCCCUUCUAAUUGGUGUUCUAUGUGUGUUUUCUUUUGUUCUGUUGCAGAAUAAUAAUUCAAGUGGAUGGCCGAUGAGUCUUGUUGUUUAGCGGUAUGAUGGUCGGUGAAAGUAUGUUCUAUGUAUAUUGCAAGAUGAUUUCUGUUGAAGCCGAGCCAAUUGAGAUCCAAGAGCCUCCUCCAUCUUACCCUCCUCACCAAGGAGGUCGGAUUGAUCUAGGAUCUUUUUCCUUAAUUUUGAGGUCCUCCCUUGGCCCCUCUACUUGGCUCUCCUCUGUCUUGUUUCUCCUCUAUAAAAAAAUAUGGAAACUACCACGAGAGAUAAUUGCGGCUUGCUGCUCUUCGCUGCAGAAUAUCACAAAGAAGUAUAUCAGUUGGCAUCCUCCCAGAAGAAGAGAAGUCAACAUACAAAGAAAAAAUCAUGGCCAAACUUUUUUAAACCAUAAGCAACUUGUUAUGAUGUGAUGAUACCUGGUCAAGCUUUUCUCAUUUUUCUGAAAACUCAUUUAUCAAGUGAAUCUACUAUGCCAAGGAAGUAGGGAGCGACCAAUGGUUUCACUUAUUGGAGGGGAGACGCGGAAUCAGCGCACUGCCUGACCCCAAAGGCUUGAGGGAGCGGGUCUCCUGUAGGGAAAUAGCAAGCAUUGCAUAAUUUCCUUUAAAUAAUCAAAUCUCAAUUAAAUCAAGUAUAUGACCAUGUAUUUUUAUCAAAUAAGCCAGAAAAAAAGAAAUACAACACCACAAAACCCCUAGAAGUGUCAUAGAAAUUGUGCUUCAGAAUUAUUUGUCAAUCCCAUGCAGCUAUCUUGCCAUGGAAAUAAUCUCAUAUCAAUAUACGUUCAGAACUAUAUCCAUCAUAGCGUCCUUCCAGCUUCACUUACAGGCACCUGCUUGUUAUUUACCCAACUAAUAGUUGUUGCUUGGUAAUAAAGAAAAGAUAGCUAGAUAAACAAUUAGUCCAGUAGACCAUAUGCUUAUUGUUUUAUACACACUCACUUCAUUUCCAAAUAAUCUUUUAUGCAAACUCGCUUGGUACCUACAUAAGAAAUCAACAUUAUCAGUUUCUUGUGACUAUAACUCAUAGUUGAGGUAAAGGUGUACUCACCAAGUCUGGUGGUAUAUUUUAUCUAUUAUUUUUUUGCCUUUAGAAACUACUCGUUGAUGCUGUGGAGUAUGGAGUCGUUCAAACAAAUGUAUAAAAUGUAUGGAUAUGGUGCUGGGUGAAACUAUAGUACAUGAUGUGGAAGGUCUCCAUGGAGAUUCAUAGAUCAUUGCUUAAAUUCUCAAAAUGAAUCUUACUUAAAUUCCCUGGUUAGAUUCUUCAGUUGCAGGAAAAGUACUACUUGGUUCUUCUCUUUAACUAGAGUGCUAUUGUGAAUUUGUGAUAGUCAUUUUUCAUCUACUGUGUCUCAGGUGGAUGUUCUAAAAGCUGCAUUUUCUCUGAUAAAAAAUAAUGUGUUUCAUCAAACUUUGCUGGGGGACCACAUGCAUAUUAAUUGUGCCUGUUCUGUAUGGUCCUUGAGAUAGAACUUCAACAUCUGUCUCUCAUGUUUCUGCAUCUUCUAUCUCUUCUGAAAGUAUCCAGGACCUGCCCAAGAUGCAGAAACAUGGACAUCGAAUAAGUUUUCUGUUUCAAUAAAUCCGCUUGAGCUUUCUCUACACUCAGGAUCAACCAGAUUCCACUCUUACAUCUGUUUAGCACUUCAUUUCCAUGUGCAAUUCCUUGCUUUGACUUGUCUCAUAACCAUAUUGAGUCCUGUCUAGACCAAACAUGUAUCAUAUAAUACCUCCUGUUACAGUAUCGUUGAAACUUAAGCGCUGACUGUAGUGCGAUCACCCUGUGUGUAAGCUUGCUGGUUGCGCCAGCAGAAAAUUGUAUCAGCUCUGUCAGACCGUAGGUGAUGCUGAGUGCUGAG
This is a long non-coding RNA of Triticum aestivum (bread wheat), 2754 nucleotides long. RefSeq lists it as uncharacterized. The transcript has 4 exons. The record is from RefSeq and is a predicted model, not a curated record. Lineage: Eukaryota; Viridiplantae; Streptophyta; Magnoliopsida; Poales; Poaceae.